UACGUAGGUGGCGAGCGUUAUCCGGAAUUAUUGGGCGUAAAGAGCGCGCAGGUGGUUGAUUAAGUCUGAUGUGAAAGCCCACGGCUUAACCGUGGAGGGUCAUUGGAAACUGGUCGACUUGAGUGCAGAAGAGGGAAGUGGAAUUCCAUGUGUAGCGGUGAAAUGCGUAGAGAUAUGGAGGAACACCAGUGGCGAAGGCGACUUACUGGACACGUAUUGACGCUGAGGUGCGAAAGCGUGGGGAGCAAACAGG
RNAcentral lists this ribosomal RNA (253 nucleotides) under uncultured bacterium. RNAcentral describes it as "partial 16S ribosomal RNA". It matches the Rfam family "Bacterial small subunit ribosomal RNA", at positions 524 to 776 of the family's 1533-position model. The record is from RNAcentral.